CACGUUACCGGUAGGCGCCGGCUGCCAGCCUCCCUCCGGGUCCGCCCUUUUAGACCCGCGCUGCCCUCUAGCCGGGGCGGCUGGGCUUCCUGAGCCCCUGGAUGUGGGGGAGCUGGAGAGGCAGGGCCACCCCUUGCAGCCGCCAGUCAACGUUUCAAACUAAAGUCUCACGGUCAGUGCCAAUUCCAGCCACCACCAAAGUUCAAACACCUACCGUUCAAAGGAACAGAAAGCCGCCAGCGCUAAAAAAAAAAAAAAAAAUCCGGAAGAAAAAACAACCCCAAAUGAUGGGGCCAGUUCUUGAAUAUAGAUGCCCUAGGAAAAAAGGCUUGAAAUACCUUUUGGCCCCAAAGCUGGGAGGCCUUUGGAUUCAGACUGAAUUAUACCACCAGCUUUCCUGGGUUUUCAGCUGGAAGACAGCAGAUCGUGGGACUUCUUGGCCUCCAGAAUCAUCAACUGUAUAAACAGAAUGGGUGCCAAUUAUUUAUAAACACAUAAAUAAAGUGACCGUGGUAGAUUGUCUGCAAAGAUGGUUGCUGGCCAUUCCUCCCAUCCCUAUGGGUGCAUGAAGCUCCUCCUCUCAAGAGAUGGAGUCUAUUUCCUCACUUCUCGAAGGCUGGCCUUUGACUUGCUUUGACCACGAGAACAUGGUGGCAAUACUAUCCCAGAACUUCCAAGCUGAGGCCUGGAAGUUUACACUUUAGCUAGAGGGAAUACCAUCUGCUGUGUCAAGAAGUCCAGGGAUUCCUGCUGGAGAAAGAAGCCAAUGGGAGGGGACUCCAGGAACUCAGCUGACAGCCAGAAGGCCCCGGAGACAUGAGGGAGUCCAGCCAACACCACAAGAAAAGAGGCCCAGCUGUCCUAUGCAGUCCCCAGUUGUUCAAGCCAUUUCGGCUAAAGCACCAGCCCUGUGAGUGAGGCCAUCGUGGGUCUUUCAGCGCCUCGUGAACCCACCCCAGCUAACACCACAUGGAACACGGAAGAACUGUCCCUCUGUGCCCGGCCCUAAUUCCUGACCCACACACUCAUGAGCAAAUAAAAUGGUUGUUAUUUUAAGCCA
Prionailurus viverrinus (fishing cat) is the source of this 1060-nucleotide long non-coding RNA. RefSeq lists it as uncharacterized. The record is from RefSeq and is a predicted model, not a curated record. Lineage: Eukaryota; Metazoa; Chordata; Mammalia; Carnivora; Felidae. The transcript is spliced from 3 exons.